RNAcentral lists this long non-coding RNA (2203 nucleotides) under Homo sapiens (human). Its description in RNAcentral is "non-protein coding lnc-STYX-5:9". Lineage: Eukaryota; Metazoa; Chordata; Mammalia; Primates; Hominidae. The record is from RNAcentral.
ACACGGGGAGGCGGCUGAGGCCCAGCAAGAAUUCAAGCUCCGCGGGGGCAGGCCAGCAGUGCUGGGGGACCCGGCGCACCCUCCGCAGCUGCUGGCCCGGGUGCUAAACCCCUCACUGCCCGGGCCGGCGGUGCCGGCGGGCUGCUCUCAGUGCGGGACCUCGGAGCCUGCGCCCACCCGGAACUAGCCGCGUUCAGCCCUGGUUCCCGCCCCCGCCUCUCCCGCCACACCUCUCCACAAGCAGAGGGAGCUGGCUUCAGCCUCAGCCAGCACAGAGAGGGGCCCCCAUAGCGCAGUGGCGGGCUGAAGGGCUCCUUGAGCAUGGCCAGAGUGGACGCCAAGGCUGAGGAGGCGCCGAGAGCCAGUGAGGGCUGCUAGCAUGUUGUCACCUCUCAAUACAUAAAACUACUGGAGGGUGGUUCCAAGAUGGCCAAAUAGGAACAGCUCCAGUCUACAGCUCCCAGCAUGAGUGAUGCAGAAGACGAAUGAUUUCUGCAUUUCCAACUCAGUUCACAGAUCUUCAACUCCAGAGAACUGAGUUUAAGGAGCUGUACCUGGGAAAUUGUGCCUGAAGCUGUUCCUGAGGAAUCUGCACCUGGAUCUAAUGUACAUGCUGAGAUCCUGGAUUUGAGCUGAUGCCAUAGUGGGAUGAGACUUUGCCGUCUUGGGUGUGGGAUGAAUAUAUUUUGCACUGGGAAGGAUGUGAAGUAUUGUGGUUAAAAGGUGGACUGUAGUUCAUUGCAUUUUUCAACAAUGGCCACAACAGCAUCUCUUAUCCUAUGUGCUCUUCUUCCAAUGUGACUGUGUCCUCUCUCAUUAAGAUGCGGAGUCUAUUUCUCCACUCUCUCAAAUCUGGUGGACCCUGGGACUUCUACCAACAGAGUACAGUGGAAAUGAUGCUGGGCCACUUCCCGGUUUGGUCUUUAACUAGUCUGGCAGCUUCUCCUUUCUGCUUCUUGGAAGCCAGUAAGAAGUACAACUAUCCUGAGGCUUCUGCUGUGAGAAGCCCAAGCCAUGGGAGAGGCUCUGGAGAAUGAGACUUCACUGGGAGAGUGAAGAGAGGAGCGAAGAGAAAGAGAGAGGCACCAAGGAUCACUGAGUUGCCAGAACAUGAAUGCUAAGGCCAUAUUGGAAAUGGAUUCUCCUGCUUCAGCUGCCCCAGCUGAUGCCACCAGGAUCAGAGAUGAUCUGGCCAGCUGAGCCCUUCCUUAAUUCUAACCCAUAAAAUUGUGUGCGAAACAAAAUGGUUGUUUUCAACCACUAAGUUUUGGGGUAGGUUUUAUGCAGCAGCAGAUAAUGGAAAUACUGCUUGGUUUUGACUUUCAAAAAAAUCCAUUUGUUUUCAGGCUUGUCUGCACUCCUUCUUUAAGAGGUGCUAAGAGACUGGACUUAGUUCUUUGUCCAGAUAAAUGUGUUUUUCCCACUGCUAGCUUAGGUUUUAUUUUUUUCACGUCUGCUAAGUCAGUAGUCCAUUUGCUUUUCAGCUUCCAAAACUUAAUUAUUCUAAUUUUCCUUAUUGUUCUCUUCCUUGUGGAUUUAUGCAUUUUAUUUGCUCCUUUCUGUAAUUUUUGUGGUAUUUGGCAAACAGUGAAGGUAAAUAUACACAUUCAAUCUGCCACAUUUAACUGAAUGUCCCCUAUGCCUUUUAUUGACUGCUUAGAAUGGCAAUGGUAAUUUUGGCCUCUAGGCACAGAGAAAUAAGAGUUUUUUUGUGAGUCACAUUGGCCCAGAGCUCCUCCACUCCUCCACAAAAGGUGAGAACUUUGUAGGGCUGACUCAGAGAUCAAGGCUGAUUCUGAUUCUGGCUGGAACAUUCCUUGGGGGUGUGAUUACUAUGGGGACAUAGUAGGCGCUACAGCUGGCUCUGGGAAGUAGACUCUGGGUUGCCAAAAAUGGACAUACACACACACACUCUCUCUCUCUCUCUUCUUCUCUUUCUGUCCCUCUCCCUCUCUCCAUUAUAUGGUCACAUUUGGGUAAGUUAAUGAAGAUUCUUGAAGAAGAAAGCAGUAUGGUGAGGCUUUCUAGUGUCAAGGUCACUUGACAUUCAAUUGUGAGCUCACUAGAAGAGAGGGAGACAUGACAUAUUAAAUGUUACCAUGGAAAAGAAAAAGUCACUCCCAAUUAAAAGGAUUGAAAAAGGAGAACCAAAGUAAAAUAGGAUUUUGUAGGUCAAUGAAAAAGCCGAAAACAAAAGCUCUGU